Molecule: ribosomal RNA, 548 nt
Filed under: uncultured bacterium
Lineage: Bacteria
Description: bacterial SSU rRNA
Rfam family: Bacterial small subunit ribosomal RNA
Source: RNAcentral
UGGGGAAUUUUGGACAAUGGGCGCAAGCCUGAUCCAGCAAUGCCGCGUGCAGGAAGAAGGCCUUCGGGUUGUAAACUGCUUUUGUCAGGGAAGAAAUCUUCUGGGCUAAUACCCCGGGAGGAUGACGGUACCUGAAGAAUAAGCACCGGCUAACUACGUGCCAGCAGCCGCGGUAAUACGUAGGGUGCGAGCGUUAAUCGGAAUUACUGGGCGUAAAGCGUGCGCAGGCGGCUUUGCAAGACAGAUGUGAAAUCCCCGGGCUCAACCUGGGAACUGCAUUUGUGACUGCAAGGCUAGAGUACGGCAGAGGGGGAUGGAAUUCCGCGUGUAGCAGUGAAAUGCGUAGAUAUGCGGAGGAACACCAAUGGCGAAGGCAAUCCCCUGGGCCUGUACUGACGCUCAUGCACGAAAGCGUGGGGAGCAAACAGGAUUAGAUACCCUGCUAGUCCACGCCCUAAACGAUGUCAACUGGUUGUUGGGUCUUCACUGACUCAGUAACGAAGCUAACGCGUGAAGUUGACCGCCUGGGGAGUACGGCCGCAAGGUUG